GCACUUUGUAAUGUUUUAUUUUUUUUAUUAUAAACACUAAUUUAAAAUAAUAAAAGAGUUUAGUUGAUGACAUUAAUAAAAUACACAUUAUACACAAAGAUAUUUAUGGAGCAAAGUAGCCUAGUUUGGCUUGGUCGCGUGAAGGCAUUACUCACCUAGUAGAGUCUGAUUUAAGUUCCUGCUUCCCCAAUCUCCUUCUAAAAAAAAUAGUUUCCAUAAUCAUUUUUUUAAGAACAAAGAAAUGCAUGAAAACACAUUUGAGGAAAUUUAAACCAACGAACAUAUUAGUAAUCAUGCAUAGACUAAGAAAAAUAAGAUUGAUUGCUCUAAUAUCAAUGUAGGAAUGUAAAAUAUGGAUUAAAGGCUUAAAAUGCAUAAACCUAGCUUAAUCCAAUUUUGCAUCAUUAGCAUCUAACAUGGUUAUAAUGUAGGAAAUUUCUUACUUACAUCAAGGUAUAUAAAUACCCAAGUAAUAAGAAACCAUCUAUAUGUUUUUUUUAAGUGAGACCUACCAUGAUUUUAUCUAAAACAAUAAUUGUUAAUUGAUUGGGUGUAUGUGCUCGGGUAUAGAUAAUAAUUACUCUAUAAUGCAGAAGCACAAAUCAUCUUAAUACCUCUACAGCAGUGAUAAUCUAAAGAAUGGAGAGAGAGAGAGAGAGAGA
This 662-nucleotide unclassified non-coding RNA is filed under the name Hevea brasiliensis (rubber tree). Lineage: Eukaryota; Viridiplantae; Streptophyta; Magnoliopsida; Malpighiales; Euphorbiaceae. The record is from RNAcentral.